RNAcentral lists this unclassified non-coding RNA (208 nucleotides) under Ascomycota sp. RNAcentral's name for it is "partial contains small subunit ribosomal RNA, internal transcribed spacer 1, and 5.8S ribosomal RNA". The stretch from base 1 to 47 matches the Rfam family "Eukaryotic small subunit ribosomal RNA", at positions 1785 to 1831 of the family's 1831-position model. Lineage: Eukaryota; Fungi; Ascomycota. The record is from RNAcentral.
AAAGUCGUAACAAGGUCUCCGUAGGUGAACCUGCGGAGGGAUCAUUAACGAAUGGUCUCUGUACCUUCAAACCCCUCAAACCUGUGGAAAUAUCAUACACAUGUGCUUCGGCGCUCGCUCCAGAGCGCCGCUUUUAUGCAGUCUCAGUAUUUUCUGUCUGUUAUGAAACAAAAAGUCAAAACUUUCAACAAAGGAUCUCUUGGCUCUC